Molecule: long non-coding RNA, 1534 nt
Organism: Cyanistes caeruleus (blue tit)
Lineage: Eukaryota; Metazoa; Chordata; Aves; Passeriformes; Paridae
Source: RefSeq, a predicted model, not a curated record
GGCCCGGGGCUGAGGGGGCCCGGCUCGGCCGCUCAGCCGCAGGGCCCCUGCACGGCAUGAGGAAGGGACCGUCAGGAACUCCACGAAGCUGCAGGACGUGUCCCGGUCAGGCUUCCUGGGGAGGUGGUCAAGGGAAGAGGAUGGUGUGGCAGAUAAUGCUGAAGACCUCAGGUCAGGCGAUGUGGACUCUGGCGCUCCCUACCCUGGGUCUGCUGCUUUUCUUUCAUCACAGCAGCGCCAAGGGCCUGGCGAGGAUGCUGGCCAAGUGCUCCGGCUCCUGCGGCUCUGAGCAGCCACAGCGGGGCUCCUGCGCUCAGAGGCUGAAGAGCUCUUUGGGAAAUUACCCUAUGGAGCUGCGCGCUUUGCAAAGCUCUGUGGCAGGAUUUCAUUAGCCCCGCUUUAGGGAGAGCCUGCCCACGCUGGGACAGCCGGGCACACGAGGAGAGGGCUGCACCACUACUGCUCCCCGUCUGGCUCUAGGGCAUCUGGCCGUGAUGGACAGCCGGAGCAAGUGGCUCACAGGGGUUAAAGUCAAGGCUGUUAGAUCAUCUAACCAAAUAGUUAUUUAAUAUGAGUCCUUUAAUUUGCUGAGGAUUUCCUCUUCUGAACUCUAAAUAUGUCCCUUGCUAAAGUAUGUUUUCUUGCAAAGUGUCCAGCAUGGAUAACCAGAAAUGGAGAGUUCACAACCCACAUCAACCCAUAUCAACACAAGCUUAUUCAGCUUUGCUAUUUCAGGCAUGCUUCAUGUUCCAUUUGAUUUUGUUACAUUUUAUCCACCUGCCUGUAGCUCCUAUAAUACCUUUCCCAAGUAGUUCAAAGAGCCCCUUAGCACCUGGAUUUUCUUCUCAUGAAGGUAUUUAUAAGACAGCUCUGGAUCUUUCUCAUAACUCCAUCAGCAGGAAGGCUUGUCCUAUACUACAGGGCAAUCCCUUCAAGCCUUGUUUCAGCUUCAUGGGGCCUUCUGCAUUGCUUACAAUUUUUCAGCAAAUAAAUGUGACUGCCCUCAGUUCUUGCAAACAGUGUUAGCAUGUAACAUGCCAAAUGGAAACAUACACCGGGAUGUAAAAUUAAAGGUCCUGAUUCCUGUUCACAUUGGGGACCUUUAACUAAGUCUGGCAAAUUACUUUUCAUUUAGAUCCAAUGUACAGCUCCCCUAAAAUGUUGGUGUUGGUAAGGGGCCAGACUGUAAAUAAGAGUUGACUCUCAAUUAUUUUUAUUGACUGAAUACCAAACCACUGACUGUACUGCUAAGGUUACUGCACUUUUGCUCCUUUGUAUUAUUAGACUGGCACUCACAUACCAAGAGUUGUCUGUGCACACACCCUAGUAUUUUACAGUGAAAUACAUAGAUUUAUUUCCAUCUUGCCUUAUUUAGAGAGAGCAAAGGUGCAGUCCCUGAGAGGGCUGCUGCUCUGUGUUAGAUUGGAUAUGGGAUACCUGACAGACUUCUCUCCAACCCUACCUUGGCAUAACUUCUCUCACUCCUUCAGUGGAUACACAUGCCUGAUUUAUGUCAGCAUUAAUAAAAUAAGAA